Small nuclear RNA from Oryctolagus cuniculus (rabbit), 108 nucleotides. NCBI's taxonomy places the organism in Eukaryota, Metazoa, Chordata, Mammalia, Lagomorpha, Leporidae. The record is from Ensembl.
AUGCUCACUUCAGCAGCACAUAUUACUAAAAUUGGAAUAAUACAGAGAAGAUUAGCAUGGCCCCUGCACAAGGAUGACAUGCAAAUUCAUGAAGCAUUCCAUGUUUAA